RNAcentral lists this ribosomal RNA (569 nucleotides) under uncultured Gammaproteobacteria bacterium. Its description in RNAcentral is "bacterial SSU rRNA". It matches the Rfam family "Bacterial small subunit ribosomal RNA", at positions 812 to 1381 of the family's 1533-position model. Lineage: Bacteria; Pseudomonadati; Pseudomonadota; Gammaproteobacteria. The record is from RNAcentral.
UCGAUUUGGAGUUUGUUGCCUAGAGUGAUGGGCUCCGAAGCUAACGCGAUAAAUCGACCGCCUGGGGAGUACGGCCGCAAGGUUAAAACUCAAAUGAAUUGACGGGGGCCCGCACAAGCGGUGGAGCAUGUGGUUUAAUUCGAUGCAACGCGAAGAACCUUACCUGGUCUUGACAUCCACAGAAUCUUGCAGAGAUGUGAGAGUGCCUUCGGGAACUGUGAGACAGGUGCUGCAUGGCUGUCGUCAGCUCGUGUUGUGAAAUGUUGGGUUAAGUCCCGCAACGAGCGCAACCCUUAUCCUUUGUUGCCAUCGGUUAGGCCGGGAACUCAAAGGAGACUGCCGUUGAUAAAGCGGAGGAAGGUGGGGACGACGUCAAGUCAUCAUGGCCCUUACGACCAGGGCUACACACGUGCUACAAUGGCGUACACAAAGGGAGGCGACCUCGCGAGAGCAAGCGGACCCCAUAAAGUACGUCUAAGUCCGGAUUGGAGUCUGCAACUCGACUCCAUGAAGUCGGAAUCGCUAGUAAUCGUGAAUCAGAAUGUCACGGUGAAUACGUUCCCGGGCCU